GACGAACGCUGGCGGCGUGCUUAACACAUGCAAGUCGAACGAAGAGCGAUGGAAGCUUGCUUCUAUCAAUCUUAGUGGCGAACGGGUGAGUAACGCGUAAUCAACCUGCCCUUCAGAGGGGGACAACAGUUGGAAACGACUGCUAAUACCGCAUACGAUCCAAUCUCGGCAUCGGGACUGGAUGAAAGGUGGCCUCUAUUUAUAAGCUAUCACUGAAGGAGGGGAUUGCGUCUGAUUAGCUAGUUGGAGGGGUAACGGCCCACCAAGGCGAUGAUCAGUAGCCGGUCUGAGAGGAUGAACGGCCACAUUGGGACUGAGACACGGCCCAGACUCCUACGGGAGGCAGCAGUGGGGAAUCUUCCGCAAUGGACGAAAGUCUGACGGAGCAACGCCGCGUGAGUGAUGACGGCCUUCGGGUUGUAAAGCUCUGUUAAUCGGGACGAAUGGUUCUUGUGCGAAUAGUGCGAGGAUUUGAUGGUACCGGAAUAGAAAGCCACGGCUAACUACGUG
Molecule: ribosomal RNA, 510 nt
Filed under: uncultured bacterium
Lineage: Bacteria
Description: partial 16S ribosomal RNA
Rfam family: Bacterial small subunit ribosomal RNA
Source: RNAcentral